Molecule: long non-coding RNA, 2147 nt
Organism: Hyla sarda
Lineage: Eukaryota; Metazoa; Chordata; Amphibia; Anura; Hylidae
Exons: 3
Source: RefSeq, a predicted model, not a curated record
UUCAAUGAGGCUCUUUGCAGCUUUCAAUGAGGCUCUUUGCAGCUUUCAGUGAGGCUCUGUGCAGCUGUCAAUCAAGCUCAGUGCAGAGAAACACUUCCUGAGUUUGGUCUCCUGCCAGGCUGGGAGGAGACCAAACUCACUGUAUUAAUUGUGUCAGGGAGCAGAACAGAGCAACCUAGUGGUCAUUUUUUCUACUACAUUUUAAACAUAUUUAUGAUGAUAAUUUUCAAAGCAAGUGAAUGGGAAAGUGUCUGCUAAUUACACAAUAAUAAAAGUUUUAUUUGGAGACAGGUAAUCUUUAAUAAUAAACUAUUAUAAUAACCAAAUUAUUGGUGCUGUCAGUAGCAAACAAUUUUUAACACCAUUUUUUGAUGUCUUAUGCCCACCCAGAGACUGGAUGCCAAGGUCUGCAUGAGACAUUAGUGCUUAGCCAAUUACCAGCCACAGCGGUGUCUGGCCACAGCCAGUGAGUGGCAAUGCAGAAGCACCUGACAGUGAAAUAACAGAGGCUGCAGGAUUAAUAACAAAGCAGACUGGGGGAGAAACAGGAUAAAAUGUGAAAGGCAAGAAGGAAGCUGAUCAGAAGCAGCGAUGAGGCUGGACUCCAAGGAAUUGAAUGUGCUGACAACAAAAUCCCACAAAAAUUAUCAAUGGAAAUGAAAUUUAUCAACCCAUGGAGGUCUGGAUAUGGAGUCACACUCAAAAUCAAAGUGAAAAACCACACUACAGGCUGAUCCAACUUUGAUGUAAUGUCCUUAAAACAAGUCAAAAUGAGGCUCAGUAGUGUGUGUGGCCUCCAUGUGCCUGUAUGAUCUCCCUACAAUGCCUGGGCAUGCUCCUGAUGAGGUGGGGGAUGGUCUCCUGAGGGAUGUCCUCCCAGACCUGGACUAAGAGCGAGACAUGAUGUCCCAGAUGUGCUCAAUAGGAUUCCGGUCUGGGGAACGGGCAGGCCAGUCCAUAGCAUGCAGGAACUGCUGAUACAUUCCAGCCACAUGAGGUCUAGCAUUAGGAGGAACCCAGGGCCAACAGCACCAGCAUAUGGUCUCACAAGGGGUCUGAGGAUCUCAUUUCGGUACCUAAUGGCAGUCAGGUUUCCUCUGGAAAGCACAUGGACGGCUGUGCGGACCCCCAAAAAAAUGCCACCCCACACCAUUACUGACCCACUGCCAAACCGAUCAUGCUGGAAGAUGUUGAAGGCAGCGGAACGUUCUCCAUGAUGUCUCCAGACUCUGUCGCGUCUGUCACAUGUGCCCAGUGUGAACCUGCUUUCAUCUGUGAAGAGCACAGGGUGCCAGUGAUGAAUUUGCCAAUCUUGGUGUUCUCUGACAAAUGCCAACCCCCACCUGUGGACAUUGGGCCCUCAUACCACCCUCAUGGAGUCUGUUUCUGACCGUUUGAGUGGACACUUUUGCGUGGACAUUUGUGGCCUGCUGAAGGUCAUUUUGCAGGGCUCUGGCAGAGCUCCUCCUGCUGCUCCUUGCACAAAAGCAGAGGUAGCGGUCCUGCUGCUGGGUUUUUGCCCUCCUACGGCCUCCUCCACGUCUCCUGAUGUACUGGCAUGUCUCCUGGUAGCGCCUCCAUGCUCUGGACACUACGCUGACAGAUACAGCAAACCUUCUUGCCCCAGCUUGCAUUGAUGUGCCAUCCUGGAUGAGCUGCACUACAUGAGCCACUUGUGUGGGUUGUAGACUCCGUCUCAUGCUACCACUAGUGUGAAAGCACUGCCAGCAUUCAAAAGUGACCAAAACAUCAGCCAGGAAGUAUAGGAACUGAGAAGUGGUCUGUGGUCACCACCUGCAGAACCACUCCUUUAUUGGGAGUGUCUUGCUAAUUGCCUAUAAUUUCCACCUGUUGUCUGUUCCAUUUGCACGACAGCAUGUGAAAUUGAUUGUCAAUCAGUGUUGCUUCCUGAAUGGACAGUGUGAUAUAACAGAAGUGUGAUUGACUUGGAGUUACAUUGUGUUGUUUAAGUGUUCCCUUUAUUUUUUGGAGCAAUGUACAUAGAAGUAGUCCAUAAUGUGAUAGACAGUUAGGUUUGGGUUGUACAAUGGGGGGAAAUGCUGGACAGCUUAAAUACAACAUGCCAAACAAACUGGUUGCUGUUGCUUCUCUCUUUAAUAAAAACACAAAACAUUUUUUAUGUGGAA